Non-coding RNA from Callithrix jacchus (white-tufted-ear marmoset), 890 nucleotides. The record is from RefSeq and is a predicted model, not a curated record. Lineage: Eukaryota; Metazoa; Chordata; Mammalia; Primates; Cebidae.
GUAUACCCUCUUGUCCCCAUUGCUUGGGCCCCUAAUAGCCGUUUGCCUAAUCUUACUUAUUGCUCCUUGCUUUCUCCAGUUCCUACAGCGGCUCUUUCAAGAACUGACUGGAGUCACCAUCCACCAGAUGCUGCUCCAACCCCACCCUGAACGAGUGCAAGAAACAGACCUCUCCCCAAACCUCCAGGCUCCUUAGGAAAAGAAACCUCUUCAGAACCCCCCGUCGACCCUUGUCAGCAGGAAGUAGCCAGAGAGACAACCGACGCCCCUGACCCCCUCUUUUUCUGUUCUUUAAGGAGUCGGGAAUGUUUGGAAAACUCUGCCCCUACCGCAAACGCUCUCUCUCUCUCUCUCUUUCCCUCCCCCACAAAGAGGCUCCCUUAUCUCUCACUUUACAUACCGGUCCUAGCCCUCCCGCCGCCCAGCUUCCCGCCGCCCAGCUUCCCACCCAGCAGUUCAAACUGACCAACAGUUGCCCACCACCUCGGCUUUUGGCUUCCCCACCCCCCAGCCCUUCAGCCCCCUAUAAAACAACCCUGCCCCUCUGAGCAGCGCGGCCAUUUUUCCUUUUCGUCCCGGCUGGCCUGCCCGGAGGCUCUUUCCUCUCAAUAAAGCCUGAACUUAAGGAAUUUCCUCUAGCCUACGGUCCGGUUUUUUCCGAACGAGCUCAGUCUUCCCGCAGAGGAGACCAUUGACAUUUAGGGAUGUGGCCAUAGAAUUCUCUCUGGAGGAGUGGCAGUGCCUGAACCCUGCUCAGCAGGAUUUGUAUAGAAAUGUGAUGUUAGAGAACUACAGAAACCUGGUCUUCCUGGGUAUUGCUGUGUCUAAGCCAGCUUUAAUCACCUAUCUGGAGAAAGAAAAAGAGCCCCAGAGUAUGAAGAGACAGGAGA